CAGUAGCGUAUAUUAAAGUUGUUGCAGUUGAAACGCUCGUAGUCUGAGGUAACUCCUUUUGGAACAACCGCUCGCCUCGCUAGUCAACUGACUGGUGAGAUCCCGACGGUUUUUCACCUUGAAUAAAUCAGAGUGUUCAAGGCAGGCACAGCCUGAAUACUUCCGCAUGGAAUGAGACGAAUAUUAUUUCCCUUGUUUCGGUGCUUGGGUUUGUUAAUAUCUUUAGGAACAGUCGAGGACAUUUGUACUUAAUCGAGAGAGGUGAAAUUCUUGGACCGAUUAAUGACAAACAAAAGCGAAAGCAUCUGCCAAGGAUGUUUUCUUUGAUCAAGAACGAAGGUCAGGGUAUCGAAGACGAUCAGAUACCAU
Molecule: ribosomal RNA, 369 nt
Filed under: uncultured eukaryote
Lineage: Eukaryota
Description: bacterial SSU rRNA
Rfam family: Eukaryotic small subunit ribosomal RNA
Source: RNAcentral